GGGCCUUCUUCAUUUAUGCGCUUGAUAAGAGUAAUGUGUUAUGGUGCUCCGUAUCUGACAGCUUGGAGAACAGAAUUCCUCCCUAGUGAUGGGAAGCACGGCUUUGUCGUAGCUGGUGAUUGGAUUGCAUCAACAGUGUAGAAAUUGAAACCCUCUCUGCUCAGAUUGGGUGAAGUUGGUGCCGAUUGAUUAAUGCCUGGGUAAAUGCCAUGCCACAGUAAUUCUUUCCCUCUGCUUGUCGGAAAAAGCGUUGGGUUUGUCAGGCUCUAUGAGAGUUCAGGCUGUUGUGCGAUCAUCAAAGAGAUUUCAAGAGCAAGGUCGAGUUCGUCUGGGUCAUUUUCGCAGGUUCGAGCUUGAGGUCUUUCCAAGAGAGAGCUCUUGUUUGCGAGAUCAAAGAGUCCAUGUUCAUCUUAUCUGAGUUGUGGAAGCAAGUGUACUGGUGGACUUGUAGGAAUGGGGAGGAAUCUCCAUUGAGGAGUGGGAAGUCACUGUAACGUGAGGAGAAACUCUAGAGAAAGAGUGGGAUAGCUUAUCAAAAAAAAGAAAGAGUGGGAUAAAAAAAUUGGUAUGUUUAAGCAAUCAUAACAAGGAGCGGAUUGUAGCUGUGGAGAGUAGUCUCCUUUUAAAGAAAGACACUAGAAUUCCAUGUAGUGUCUUUGUUGCAUUAAAUUCUUGUUUUCUAUACACUUUCUUUUCACCUGCCAUAUUUAGUCCUAUGAUUCUUGGCUGUUCUCAAUUUGUGCUUGAGACUUUGGAAAUGUUAUUUUUGGUCAGUUAAGGGUUGUUCUCUUAUUUUGCAAAAUGUAAGCAUUUCGAAGCUGAUUGUUACUUAA
Long non-coding RNA from Juglans regia (Persian walnut), 833 nucleotides. RefSeq lists it as uncharacterized. Lineage: Eukaryota; Viridiplantae; Streptophyta; Magnoliopsida; Fagales; Juglandaceae. The transcript is spliced from 2 exons. The record is from RefSeq and is a predicted model, not a curated record.